AGCAGCCGCGGUAAUUCCAGCUCCAAUAGCGUAUAUUAAAGUUGUUGCAGUUAAAAAGCUCGUAGUUGAAUUUCGGGAUCAAAUUGUCGGUCGUGCCUCGGUACGUACUGGUAUUAUUGGUUCCUCCCUUCUGACGAACCACGAUGUCAUUAAUUUGGUGUCAUGGGAAAUCAGGACUGUUACUUUGAAAAAAUUAGAGUGUUUAAAGCAGGCUCGCGCUUGAAUACAUUAGCAUGGAAUAAUGAAAUAGGACGUUUGAUUCUAUUUUGUUGGUUUCUAGGAUCGACGUAAUGAUUAAUAGGGAUAGUUGGGGGCAUUAGUAUUCAAUUGUCAGAGGUGAAAUUCUUGGAUUUAUUGAAGACUAACUACUGCGAAAGCAUUUGCCAAGGAUGUUUUCAUUAAUCAAGAACGAAAGUUAGGGAUCGAAGACGAUCAGAUACCGUCGUAGUCUUAACCAUAAACUAUGACCGACUACGGGAUCGGAUGAUGUUAAUUUUUAAUGUACUCAUUCGGCGUCCUU
This 520-nucleotide ribosomal RNA is filed under the name uncultured Glomus. RNAcentral describes it as "SSU rRNA". It matches the Rfam family "Eukaryotic small subunit ribosomal RNA", at positions 569 to 1090 of the family's 1831-position model. Lineage: Eukaryota; Fungi; Glomeromycota; Glomeromycetes; Glomerales; Glomeraceae. The record is from RNAcentral.